CAAAGUCUAAGGAAGAUAACCAUGUAGUCUGUUCAAAGAUAAGAUCAAUUUUGACAGAACUACAGACCUCGUGAAAGUAGCCUUGUAGUCCUACAGAAAA
Long non-coding RNA from Alosa sapidissima (American shad), 100 nucleotides. RefSeq lists it as uncharacterized. The transcript is spliced from 4 exons. The record is from RefSeq and is a predicted model, not a curated record. NCBI's taxonomy places the organism in Eukaryota, Metazoa, Chordata, Actinopteri, Clupeiformes, Clupeidae.